This 454-nucleotide ribosomal RNA is filed under the name uncultured bacterium. RNAcentral describes it as "bacterial SSU rRNA". It matches the Rfam family "Bacterial small subunit ribosomal RNA", at positions 8 to 464 of the family's 1533-position model. The record is from RNAcentral.
AGAGUUUGAUCAUGGCUCAGAUUGAACGCUGGCGGCAGGCCUAACACAUGCAAGUCGAGCGGUAACAGAAAGUAGCUUGCUACUUUGCUGACGAGCGGCGGACGGGUGAGUAAUGCUUGGGAACAUGCCUUGAGGUGGGGGACAACAGUUGGAAACGACUGCUAAUACCGCAUAAUGUCUACGGACCAAAGGGGGCUUCGGCUCUCGCCUUUAGAUUGGCCCAAGUGGGAUUAGCUAGUUGGUGAGGUAAUGGCUCACCAAGGCAACGAUCCCUAGCUGGUUUGAGAGGAUGAUCAGCCACACUGGAACUGAGACACGGUCCAGACUCCUACGGGAGGCAGCAGUGGGGAAUAUUGCACAAUGGGCGAAAGCCUGAUGCAGCCAUGCCGCGUGUGUGAAGAAGGCCUUCGGGUUGUAAAGCACUUUCAGUCAGGAGGAAAGGGUGNGAGUUAAU